UAUAAUGUAGGGAAAUAGAAUUAGGUUUUUAUUCUAUACUUGUACAUACACUAUAAUUGUUAAAUUUAGAAAUAAUUAUCUUUCUAAAAAAUUACCGAUAUGUCGAAAAGAUUGUGGUCCCGACAAAAGAGCUAUAAUCUGCCUGGUAUACACAAGCUUCAAGAUGAUAUUUUGCUGUGGAGCUGCUGUGAUCUACUGAUGGAAUAUACAUAUGUAUCUAUGAAAAACAAGAUAGCGCUAUAGUCGAGAUAACAGCAAUGUUGCAGCUCUAAACUGACCUGCAGGGCUGUGCGACGAAGGGGCCAGCGAAGGUUGUAUGCAAGCUCUCCUGCGAGUUCAGGUUCAGGCCUAAACCCGUGAGAUCCGUGCCCAAGGAGAGCGUCACCAGAUUGGGAUCCGUUUCUGCAGCCCGAAUGAACGUCAGCAGGCCAACCAUGCCGAACUGGUUGUUCACCAUGGUCGCUGGUAUGUUUGUGACCUUCCCUAAUUAUGCAAAACGAACGAAAGGUAAAUUUGUUAAAUUUUUAAGUAAAUAAAAGAUUUCAUGGUACAAUUAUUUGUGAAUAAAAUGGUGAAUAGUAAAGUAAA
Molecule: long non-coding RNA, 588 nt
Organism: Drosophila sechellia
Lineage: Eukaryota; Metazoa; Arthropoda; Insecta; Diptera; Drosophilidae
Exons: 3
Source: RefSeq, a predicted model, not a curated record